RNAcentral lists this ribosomal RNA (454 nucleotides) under uncultured bacterium. Its description in RNAcentral is "partial 16S ribosomal RNA". It matches the Rfam family "Bacterial small subunit ribosomal RNA", at positions 341 to 792 of the family's 1533-position model. The record is from RNAcentral.
ACGGGAGGCAGCAGUGAGGAAUAUUGGUCAAUGGACGGAAGUCUGAACCAGCCAAGUCGCGUGAAGGAUGAAGGUAUUAUGUAUUGUAAACUUCUUUAGCAGUGGAGUAAUAAGGGGAUCGUGAUCCCUGAUGCAAGUACACUGAGAAUAAGGAUCGGCUAACUCCGUGCCAGCAGCCGCGGUAAUACGGAGGAUGCGAGCGUUAUCCGGAUUUAUUGGGUUUAAAGGGUGCGCAGGCGGCACGUUAAGUCAGCGGUGAAAUGUCGGGGCUCAACCCGGGCACUGCCGUUGAAACUGGCGAGCUUGAGUACGGAUGAAGUCGGCGGAAUGUGAUGUGUAGCGGUGAAAUGCUUAGAUAUGUCACAGAACACCGAUUGCGAAGGCAGCUGACUAAUCCGCAACUGACGCUCAGGCACGAAAGCGUGGGGAUCGAACAGGAUUAGAUACCCUGGUA